AGAGUUCAGAGUACGUGAAACCGUUCAGGGGUAAACCUGAGAAACCCAAAAGAUCGAAUGGGGAGAUUCAUCGUCAGCUCACUUUGUAUAUGUAUAGGUUAUGAUGCGNNAGUUACUCUUNNGUAGUAUUGCUNUGUACAUACUUGUAUAUUUAUUUGCAAGGUGUUGUCGGCGUGCACUUCUCCCCUAGUAGGACGUCGCGACCCGUUGGGUGUCGGUUUACGACCCGAGNUGGGAGACUUUAAUAUUNNUUANNUAAUAUUAAAGACCCUUGGUGUUNUUCUAACCGGCUGCCCGGCGGUAUUCGUACGGUAUUUAGCCGCAUNUUNANNNUUUGCGUCCAUGUUCGUUGCAAGCGCGGCUAAUUUCUGGUAGUNACGGACCUAGUGCCGUCGCUGGGAUUGGCCAGCUGUUGGUUGNNACGAAAUUCUGGGACUGGCUAAAAUNUAAUNNUACCGGUCGGCGAUGCUACUGCUUUGGGUACUUUCAGGACCCGUCUUG
Molecule: ribosomal RNA, 501 nt
Filed under: Heterospilus sp. MAS-2010
Lineage: Eukaryota; Metazoa; Arthropoda; Insecta; Hymenoptera; Braconidae
Description: partial 28S ribosomal RNA
Source: RNAcentral